AACCACUUGAUAAUUAGUGAAUAUGAGGAGAGCUGUACCUCCAAACCUAAUUUACACAAAGAUGUUUGUUAAAUAACAAAUCAAAACUGUCAACAGAUUUUACUUUCUUGUAACAUGUAAACAGUUUUUAUGAAUUAUACUCUAUUUGAAAUAUGUGAAACAUUUUAAUUUACAUCUGAUGUUUAAAAUAUUUUCUCAGUGAGGAACAGGUGUCCAUUGCACUUAAACUAGCAGCUCCGUUUGUGGAAUCUGACAACAGUCUUAACUGAAAAGGGAGAUUGUCUCAUUCACCUCUAAUUUUAUCAUAAUAUGCUGAGAGUCUUCUCCUAGUUUUGCUUCAGCCACUUUUAAGGCACAUGAUGCUUUCUCACUCUCCUUUCCAGUGUAAUUCACAGCUCUUCCCAGGGCUGGGACCCGAGACUCCAGUGUCUCUGCGUGGAAGAAGCAAGUCAUGAGAUAUCAGGAUUCCUGUUAUUAUUUCCAGUUAGCCCCAAACUGAAUGUAUAACUUGUUCAAGUUGAAACCUCUCAACACCUUUAAGAAAAUCGUUUGUGCUCAACAUCUUCUACAUUCUCUUCCACUCGUCAAAUAAGUCCCUUGAUUCAUUAAUUGUUAUCCUCCUGCUUUUGGAAAACACAAUGAAGUAUUAUUACUCAAUACAAAAAAUUCUACCAAAAUAUUACUCAGUAACAAUAAAGAAGGUACAUACAGGGUUUGACACCCUUUCUAAUAAUAGCAAUAAUAGCUAACAUUCAUUGAAUGUUAUAUGUCAGUACUGCUCUAAGUGAUAGACAUAUUCAUGUAAUCGUCAGAGUAAACCUGACUGACAGAAGAGUAAACUGAACAGAGAGAGGUUAAAUAUCUUUUGGGGCAAGUAGGUGACAGAACUGAGGUGACAGAUGGCUGAACCUCACCGUCUGGAUCUGGGUUCAUAGACUUAACCACUUCAUGCCCCACCUUCCAAUGUUAUGUACUAAGUUGGAGAAGACACUUUCUGGUAUCUUAAAGUGAGAGAACAAGGAGCUUAGGUUAAGCAGAAAUCUCUAACACUACUUCAAUCUAAAAGUAUACGCACCACAUCAGCCUUUGCGAAAAAAGUAGGAGAUGAGAGAAAGGACAGACUGAGCAUCCAGGGAGGGAUAUUCGUACCCAUUUUCUUAUAAGGCACAUACAACUCCCACGUGGUAAAUGGGAGUAAAUAUAAAUUUGGACCUUAUGAUUCCAGUUAGUUGCAUCUGGCUUUUAUAAAAUUCUGUAUACUCUCUCAGUUACAGAUGAACAGUUCAUCAAAUGAGAGAAAGUGAAAGAAAAAGAGAUGCUCCUCAUAAAAAGAUAAGACUUGUUCUUCUGUUAUUUUUGCUAAAUACAAUUUGAAUUACCUAUGGUAUUCCAUUGAACAAAUAUGCCAAAAUUAAACAAUUCAUUUUCUUUAGGACAUUUAGGUUCUUCUAAUUUUUCACCCUUAUAUGUAAUGGGAAUAAUGAACAUCUUUAUAUAUGGACUUUAAUCUGUGGAUACCUCCGUUGGAUUUAAAUGGAUUUAGUUAAAGCUGACAACUCUUUCUAUCACUCUUAACACAUUUUGUAAGAUGCAUUUUUUGAGCACUUUUUUGUUGGUCUUUUUUUUUUUCCUGCUGGAAAUGAGGUAGUGGUGAUGAGUAUAGUAUUAGCAGCAGGGUAGGUUCAAGUGCCCUAUGAAGCCUUUCAGAUGUUACUUGGCAUAAGAAGGUUAUCCCCCACUGUCUUUUCAAAGUGGAAUACAAUGACCAGGCUCCUCGUGUUUUUGCCAGGAAAGAUUACCUGGGGAAAUCCAAUACAAAACUUUAAACAAACAUCUGAGAAACCUAUUAUUCUGACUAACCACUGACAUUGUACCUUCUCAUAGAUUGUCAGAUACAGUAAUUACUUAUGCUCUUUCUUCAGGCAUCUGCUUGAAAUUUGACCACGAAUUUCAUAGCUUCUGGGUAAAUAGAGAAAGUAAUUUCUGUCAACACUGCUCAAAAUUCUUUUUGACCUUAGAGGAGCUUCAGCUAUGGAAAAUAUCGUAUCAUAUGAUGUCAGCAUUUACAAUGAGAUAAAGUUAUUCUAUUUUAUAUAUUAUAAAUGAAAUAGUGAAUUAGGUUAAUCCUUUCAUUAUAAGGGAAAUAGAUUUUCAAAAUAUUUUAAAAUCUUAAUAAUAUAAUAUACCUUAAAAUUUGAUUGUUUUGUAUCCCUCCUUUUGCAAGUAUGUGAAACUAAGCUUUCCGUGGCAAAACACUUGCCUUAAGUGCACCAAGUUCUACUAGACCUCAACAUUUGGUUUAUGUGGUUGAUUUUUAAACCUACUUAUUUUCCUCAGAAUCUGCUCAAUUUUAUUAUUAUAUGUAACUAGCUAAAUUAUAUUUCAUGUCCAAAGGGAAAUACAGUGUUCUUUGAACCUAAGAAACCCUUUUAAAUGGGAAGAUAGCUUAGUUGCUUUGAGUCUUCUUUAUGCUGUUGCAAAACAGGACAUUAAUUUUGCCCCCAAAGUCAAAACAACUCUUCCUUUUCUAAAUUUAAAUGCAGCACAAAUAUAAAAAUAAGUUCAGAGACCAGCGAGAAGGUACAUUAUUCGUUAUAGACUCAAAAUUUUGGGCUGACAAGUGUUGGUUUUAUGGAAUUUUAAAAUAAAAAUAUACAAAAAAUUUAGAUGAAAGAAUACUGGCAAAAUCAGGAGCUACUGCUGUGGCUCAGCAGCAGGUUACAAACCCGACUAGUACCUAUGAUGAUGCCAGUUUGACCCUUUGCCUCGCUCAUUGGAUUAAAGAUCUGGCUUUCCCAUGAGCUGUGGUGUAGGUCACAUAGCUUAGAUCUGGCAUUACAGUGGCUGUAGUGUAGGCUGGCAGCUGCAGCUGUGAUUUGACCCUUAGCCUGGGAACUUCCAUAUGCUGCAGGUGCAGCCCUAGAAAGCAAUAAAUAAAUAAGAAUAUUAGCAAAAUGAUAUUCACAAACUAGAGUUAUUGGUUGUUUUAAGUAGGAAAGGAUGCCUCAAUUACUAAUACCAUAAAAGUAUAUAUAGGAGACGUUAUAGACUGAAUGUUUGUGUCCCCCAAAAGAACUCAUAUGCUGAAGCCCUGACCCCAACAAGGCUGGAUUUGGUGCCUCUAAUCCAAUAGGAUUAGUGUCCCUAUAAGAAAAGACACCUGAGAGCUUGCUUGCUCUCUAGCCCUCUCUAUACAUUCAUUUAGGAAAGGCUGCAAUGAGGAUAAAGCCAGAAGCUGGCCAUCUACAAGGAAGGAAGAGAGCUGAACUGGCCAGCACCUUGAUCAUGAACUUCUAGCCUCCAAAAACUGUGAGGAAACAAAUUUCUGUUGUUUAAGGCACCAUGUCUGUGGCAUUUUGUUAACACAAAUAGACUAAUACAGAAGGUUCCAUAGUGGAGGGAAGAGUCUGUGUGUUGGGUUAGAAUUGGGAAGUGUGAUGCUUUAAGUGAGUUAUGUUCUAUUAGCACUUCUGCUAUCCUUGUAUAUUGUUUAUAGUUCUGUGUUAUUUUACAAUUAUCUUAAAAGCACCUAUUUUUUUCUUUCUGAGUAGUCCAUGAAAACAAGAAGAAAGAAAUUAACAUUUAUUAGACACUUAACAUGUGUGCCAGGCACCAUUUCACAUGUGUUUUCUCAUUUAAUUCUUAGAAACAUCUUGUAACUUAAGUAUUGUUAUUCCAAUGAUUACAGUUAAUGAGAUAAAAUAGCUUUCUCCCACCAUCACUUGGCUAAUUAAUGGGCAGAUUUGGGAUUCAGACCCACUUUUUUUUUCCUCCAAAGCCAUAGUCUUUCCUUUAAAUAAUAUUCAGGAUCCAAUCGAAAAUAGAAACCACUCUGGCAUUUCAGAUGGAGGGGAAUUGAUUGGACUGGGAGUUGUAGAACUCAAAGGCUGAAAAGAAGAGGGUGAAGCAGCCCAGAGAAUAACACAAGCAAGACACAGCUACUACUACCCUUGAACUGGAGAAUCUAAGGGAGUGUGUGGAGGCUGGGGUCACUGUCAGCUUCUCUAUGGCAGCUAGGACCAUGGAGAAGUCAUCAAAUAAGAGCCCAAACCACUGACCUAGUCACCAUCCAGGCGGAGAGGGAAAUUGUCAUGCCAGGUUCACGACUAACUACUGCUGGUUGCUAAUGUCUUCUCCCUUCCUUCAGACUCUCUUCUACCCCAGGAGGCAUUCUUUCCUUUCCUUUCUUUAAAUUAAAGUGUAGCUGAUUUACAAUGUUGUACCAAUUUCUGCUGUACAGCUAAGCGACCCAGUCAUGCAUAUAUAUACAUUCUUUUUCUCAUCCCCUGUCAUGUUCUAUCCCAAGAGAUUGGACAUAGUUCCCUUUGUUGUACAGUAGAACCUCAUUGCUUACCCAUUCUAAAUGUAAUAGUUUGCAUAGCUAACCUCAAACUCCCCAUCCAUCCUACUCCCUCCCUCUCCCCCUUGGCAACCACAAGUCUGUUCGCUAUGUCCAUGAAUCUCUUUCUGUUUUACAGAUAGGUUCAUUUGUGCCAUGUUUUGGAUUCCACAUAAAAGUGAUAUCAUAUGCUAUUUGCCUUUCUCUUUCUGACUUAGGUCACUUAGUUUGAGACUCAUUAGUUGCAUCUCUGUUGCUGCAAAUGGCAUUAUUUUGUUCCUUUUUAUGGGAGAGUAGUAUUGUCCUCUUUGGGGAAAUGUCUAUUUGGGUCUUCUGCCCAUGAGGUGUUCUUUUCAUUUCUUGGAGGCAGCACAGCCUCAUCCCAGUUUUCAUUCACGGAAAGCUAGUAGCUCAUUCCAAUGAUCAUGGAUUUAGGAAAUCACUCUCCCCACUCCCUCCCCACUCUCAUGUAUAUACAUCUAAUUCCCCAACUUGUUCUCAUAGUACAAAGUGGCUUCAGGACAUUUAUGUGCAGAAACAGAAAUAUUUGACCAGAGAGAGUGAGUCUAUGGGUCUCCAUACUGCAUAUUUCAGGGGUCACUAGUCACAGCAAGGUCUAAGUGAAUGGCACCCCUAUGGAGUUUUGCAGUGCAUGGCCAUUUGCAUAGACUCUCAGGAGUUGUGCAAAAAAAAGGACACCUUUGCAAUGGUAUAAACAGCAUGGUCUCAGGCAAUUAAAUAGGAUACAGACAAAAUCUUGUUUAGAUUCCAAGUCAGUUCUGACUGUGAUUCCUCAGUCUAUAUACCAAUGUCUGAUUUCUAAAGACUGCCAAAGCCAGCCAUCUCAAAAGUCUACAUUCCCUCUUGCCAGGCAUCUCAAAAGUCUACAUUCUCUCAUGGAAUCCAACUUUUCUGCUUUGUUUUAUUCAACGGAUACACCCCCUUUGCCGCUGGUCCUAAACUUCUUCUAGACUCUUUUUUGUUCUCUAACAGUCCUCUUCCUCCUACUGGGCUAUUUCCGUUCACCUUCCACUAGUUAUUCCCACCACACAGAACUGUAUGUUAUGUCCAGAAAGAGAUAAAGAUCUCUCUUGUUUAUCAGCUAUUAACCUUUGCUCAUAUAAAUAAUUACAUGACAGUAAACUGAUUGUCCCAAAUAUAUGUACAUAUGAAAAUCAGAGGAAAGCAUCACCAAAGCUUAUUUUUCAUAAGAACCUGCAGGAACAAUUUUUAUUAACCAAGCUUACAAGGUAUCAAUCAUUUAAAUUAUUAAUAGAGACCCUAGAAUGUGUUACCUAGUAAGGUCCUACAAGCAUUUGCUCAUGCUGAAAACAAUUGUAAUUAUUCUCUGUUCAGAAAAGAGGAAAGAAGUCACUAGCAUUCAUCUUUGCAGUGGUUCAUUCAGAACUAUUCACGGCAUUAGGCAUUAUCUGCCCUAUCACUCUGCCUUUUCAAAAAAGAUCAUAUGUGUAGACUAAAGGGACUGUCCUGACUGACAACAAUGUAAAGGAGGUCCCUAAGUUCAGAGUGACGAACCAUAACCCAUAUGCACCUGGCUAGUUAAUAACAGAAUAAAGUCAGGAGUUCAGAGAUUCUGAAUACUCAUAUUCGGAGGUAUUAUUUACCUCUUUGAAAUAGAUGUAACCUAAGAAAUGUUCCUUUUAUUUUCUUGAUCUGGAAAAUUUAAUUAAACAGAGACCUAUAAUAAUAACAUAUUUUCUCCUCUGUUUGGGGUGCUUCAUCAACUGGCACUUUUUAUGUGGAUUGUGUAUCACCCUGUGCAAUUAGAAACAGGUCUACUUAGUAAGCCUUCUCGCCUUUACUCCAAUCUCCCUGAUAAUAAUAAUCAAAGUGUCCUACCAAUGACAUAACUACUUCAGUUCUACAGAAACCAUGGUGUAGCUGAUAGAUCUUUGAAAUUUAUGAACAACACUUGCAGAAUUCUGUGUGCAUUUCCAUAUUUGCUAGGCUUUAUCCUGUAAAAUUUUAAUUUUCUGGUUGGGGAGUUCCACUGUGGCUCAGAGGUAAUGCACCUGACUAGUAUCCAUGAGGAUGUGGUUUCAAUCCCUGGCCUUGCUCAGUGGGUUAAGGAUCUGGUGUUGCUGUGACUGUGGUGUAGGCUGGAAACUGUAGGUCUGCUUUGACCCCUAGCCUGGGAACC
This 6500-nucleotide long non-coding RNA is filed under the name Sus scrofa (pig). RNAcentral's name for it is "lncRNA (ENSSSCG00000054705.1)". The record is from RNAcentral. Lineage: Eukaryota; Metazoa; Chordata; Mammalia; Artiodactyla; Suidae.